Molecule: long non-coding RNA, 2901 nt
Organism: Rhopalosiphum padi (bird cherry-oat aphid)
Lineage: Eukaryota; Metazoa; Arthropoda; Insecta; Hemiptera; Aphididae
Exons: 20
Source: RefSeq, a predicted model, not a curated record
GUGAUAAUAAUAAUAGUUUUAUGCAUAGUACGAGUAAUGAAUAUUGAAUAUAAUUGAUAGUCAAUUAAUAGUAGUGUAACAAAAAAUUGACGUAUGUCAAAUCAAUCAAGGCAUGCAGAAACAUGAAUUCACAUUUCUACCACUUAAGAAAGUAUCAACAUCCUAUGCUGAAAAUGGACUAGAAGAUACUGCUAAUAAUAUUGGGUUUAUGUAAUAUUGACGUAUGUCAAAUCAAUCAAGGCAUGCAGAAACAUGAAUUCACAUUUCUACCACUUAAGAAAGUAUCAACAUCCUAUGCUGAAAAUGGACUAGAAGAUACUGCUAAUAAUAUUGGGUUUAUGUAAUAUGGCUGUACACCAGAUAUACUCAGGACAUAUUGAUACAUGAAUUACCAUUUCUACCACAUGGGAAAGUUUCAACAUCCUACGUUGAAAAUGGACUGGACAAUCCUGAUAAUAAUAAUAGUUUUAUGCAUAAUUGACGUAUGUCAAAUCAAUCAAGGCAUGCAGAAACAUGAAUUCACAUUUCUACCACUUAAGAAAGUAUCAACAUCCUAUGCUGAAAAUGGACUAGAAGAUACUGCUAAUAAUAUUGGGUUUAUGUAAUAUGGCUGUACACCAGAUAUACUCAGGACAUAUUGAUACAUGAAUUACCAUUUCUACCACAUGGGAAAGUUUCAACAUCCUACGUUGAAAAUGGACUGGACAAUCCUGAUAAUAAUAAUAGUUUUAUGCAUAAUUGACGUAUGUCAAAUCAAUCAAGGCAUGCAGAAACAUGAAUUCACAUUUCUACCACUUAAGAAAGUAUCAACAUCCUAUGCUGAAAAUGGACUAGAAGAUACUGCUAAUAAUAUUGGGUUUAUGUAAUAUGGCUGUACACCAGAUAUACUCAGGACAUAUUGAUACAUGAAUUACCAUUUCUACCACAUGGGAAAGUUUCAACAUCCUACGUUGAAAAUGGACUGGACGAUCCUGAUAAUAAUAAUAGUUUUAUGCAUAAUUGACGUAUGUCAGAUCAAUCAAGGCAUGCAGAAACAUGAAUUCACAUUUCUACCACUUAAGAAAGUAUUUACAUCCUAUGCUGAAAAUGGACUAGAAGAUACUGCUAAUAAUAUUGGGUUUAUGUAAUAUGGCUGUACACCAGAUAUACUCAGGACAUAUUGAUACAUGAAUUACCAUUUCUACCACAUGGGAAAGUUUCAACAUCCUACGUUGAAAAUGGACUGGACAAUCCUGAUAAUAAUAAUAGUUUUAUGCAUAAUUGACGUAUGUCAAAUCAAUCAAGGCAUGCAGAAACAUGAAUUCACAUUUCUACCACUUAAGAAAGUAUCAACAUCCUAUGCUGAAAAUGGACUAGAAGAUACUGCUAAUAAUAUUGGGUUUAUGUAAUAUGGCUGUACACCAGAUAUACUCAGGACAUAUUGAUACAUGAAUUACCAUUUCUACCACAUGGGAAAGUUUCAACAUCCUACGUUGAAAAUGGACUGGACAAUCCUGAUAAUAAUAAUAGUUUUAUGCAUAAUUGACGUAUGUCAAAUCAAUCAAGGCAUGCAGAAACAUGAAUUCACAUUUCUACCACUUAAGAAAGUAUCAACAUCCUAUGCUGAAAAUGGACUAGAAGAUACUGCUAAUAAUAUUGGGUUUAUGUAAUAUUGACGUAUGUCAAAUCAAUCAAGGCAUGCAGAAACAUGAAUUCACAUUUCUACCACUUAAGAAAGUAUCAACAUCCUAUGCUGAAAAUGGACUAGAAGAUACUGCUAAUAAUAUUGGGUUUAUGUAAUAUGGCUGUACACCAGAUAUACUCAGGACAUAUUGAUACAUGAAUUACCAUUUCUACCACAUGGGAAAGUUUCAACAUCCUACGUUGAAAAUGGACUGGACAAUCCUGAUAAUAAUAAUAGUUUUAUGCAUAGUACGAGUAAUGAAUAUUGAAUAUAAUUGAUAGUCAAUUAAUAGUAGUGUAACAAAAAAUUGACGUAUGUCAAAUCAAUCAAGGCAUGCAGAAACAUGAAUUCACAUUUCUACCACUUAAGAAAGUAUCAACAUCCUAUGCUGAAAAUGGACUAGAAGAUACUGCUAAUAAUAUUGGGUUUAUGUAAUAUGGCUGUACACCAGAUAUACUCAGGACAUAUUGAUACAUGAAUUACCAUUUCUACCACAUGGGAAAGUUUCAACAUCCUACGUUGAAAAUGGACUGGACAAUCCUGAUAAUAAUAAUAGUUUUAUGCAUAGUACGAGUAAUGAAUAUUGAAUAUAAUUGAUAGUCAAUUAAUAGUAGUGUAACAAAAAAUUGACGUAUGUCAAAUCAAUCAAGGCAUGCAGAAACAUGAAUUCACAUUUCUACCACUUAAGAAAGUAUCAACAUCCUAUGCUGAAAAUGGACUAGAAGAUACUGCUAAUAAUAUUGGGUUUAUGUAAUAUGGCUGUACACCAGAUAUACUCAGGACAUAUUGAUACAUGAAAUUACCAUUUCUACCACAUGGGAAAGUUUCAACAUCCUACGUUGAAAAUGGACUGGACAAUCCUGAUAAUAAUAAUAGUUUUAUGCAUAGUACGAGUAAUGAAUAUUGAAUAUAAUUGAUAGUCAAUUAAUAGUAGUGUAACAAAAAAUUGACGUAUGUCAAAUCAAUCAAGGCAUGCAGAAACAUGAAUUCACAUUUCUACCACUUAAGAAAGUAUCAACAUCCUAUGCUGAAAAUGGACUAGAAGAUACUGCUAAUAAUAUUGGGUUUAUGUAAUGUGCGUGUAAGGGUUAUUGAAUAUAAUUGAUAGUAAAUUAAUGGCAGUGAAACAAUUGAGAUUCGUUAAUAAUCUGAAUAAAAUUUUAGUUAACACCUUUGACUUGUAAUUUUCAUUCAUAAGAGUUACCAUUAUUAACUUGUAUACAUUUCAUUUGAGCUGA